CCUACGGGAGGCAGCAGUGGGGAAUCUUGCGCAAUGGGCGAAAGCCUGACGCAGCCAUGCCGCGUGGAUGAUGAAGGUCUUAGGAUUGUAAAAUCCUUUCACCGGUGAAGAUAAUGACUGUAGCCGGAGAAGAAGCCCCGGCUAACUUCGUGCCAGCAGCCGCGGUAAUACGAAGGGGGCUAGCGUUGCUCGGAAUUACUGGGCGUAAAGGGAGCGUAGGCGGACAUUUAAGUCAGAGGUGAAAUCCCGGAGCUUAACUUCGGAACUGCCUUUGAUACUGGGUGUCUUGAGUGUGAGAGAGGUAUGUGGAACUCCGAGUGUAGAGGUGAAAUUCGUAGAUAUUCGGAAGAACACCAGUGGCGAAGGCGACAUACUGGCUCAUUACUGACGCUGAGGCUCGAAAGCGUGGGGAGCAAACAGGAUUAGAUACCCUGGUAGUCCACGCCGUAAACGAUGAUUGCUAGUUGUCGGGAAGCUUGCUUCUCGGUGACGCNGCUACGCAUAAGACAUCCGCCGUCGGGAGGUACGGUCGCGAGAAUUAAACUACAAGAAGUAGUAGACGNGAGAGAGCGACGACGACGACGACGGAGGAGGAGG
RNAcentral lists this ribosomal RNA (597 nucleotides) under uncultured bacterium. Its description in RNAcentral is "bacterial SSU rRNA". The stretch from base 1 to 515 matches the Rfam family "Bacterial small subunit ribosomal RNA", at positions 338 to 873 of the family's 1533-position model. The record is from RNAcentral.